UUUAUUUUCUAGGUACUUCAAAUACUCUAGAUCAACUCUAACGGAGACGAUCGUCGAUUCGAAAGUCCGAACAUCGAAAACAACUUGGAAGCACGGAGGGCUCCGUGCUUCCAGAAGCAUACCAGCCCACUCUCUCUCUCUCUCUCUCUCUCUCUAUAUAUAUAUAUAUAUAUAUAUAUAUAGUCCGGCUAUAUUCUUAUGUGUACCAUCUACUUCGUACUUAUAAAUUACUUUCGAUGAUAGAGUUAUCGAAUCGACGAUCCAUACCGUUAAAUAUUAUCUAGAGCAUUUAAAACUUCUAGAAAUUAAAUUUUAUAAAUUUUCGAUAUCAUUUACCCUACGAUCAAAAGCUCAUAAAAUUGACAAUUUUUAACGGCCGGUAUGAAAUAUUUGCUAGUUUAAUGGUGUAAAAGAAUCGGAAUAUGUUGAAUUUUUGAUAAAAAAUUCUAUUCACUAUCUAAAUAAAGAUCAAUUACUCUGAUCUUAAAUUGAAAGAUCCGAUCAUCCAUUUUUAGGAUGUUGUUCGAUUUUGACUGUUCAUUUUAUACCCGCUUGAUUAACUUUAUAAUGAUUUCGAAAAAUUAUGAAAUUUAUUUUCUAAAAGUUUCAAAUGCUCUAGAUUAUGUUUAAUGGUGUGAAUCGUCGAUUCGAAAACCCUAACAUCGAAAAUAACUUAUGAGUACGAAGGGCUCUAUACUCAUAAUAGUAUAGUAACCAUACUAUAUAUAUAUAAUUUUGCUAGAAUACUAUCGGUAAUAAACGGCUCGGUUUACUACCGAUUUGUUUUCGAUGAUAGAGCUUCCAAAUUGAUGAUCGGCACCGUUAAACAUGAUCUAAACUAUUUAAACUAUCUGAAAAUUAAAUUUCACACAUUUUCGAUAUUGUUCUCUUGUCCAUCAAGUGAACAGAAAAAUAAAUGGCUGGAAAUGAAUAUCCUUCAAAAAGUGAUGAUACAAUUUUUAUAUUUGAGAUCUAGAGUCUAAAUCUUAUUUUAAAUAGUUUAAAGAAUUUUCAAGCAAAAAUUUAGUUGAUUUGAACUCUUCUAUACCGUUAAAUGAGCAAACGCACCAUAUCGGCCAUUAAAAUUAUAGAUUUUGUGACCCUUUGAUCGUUCAGUUAGUGAUG
Molecule: long non-coding RNA, 1125 nt
Filed under: Ananas comosus (pineapple)
Lineage: Eukaryota; Viridiplantae; Streptophyta; Magnoliopsida; Poales; Bromeliaceae
Description: long non-coding RNA (ACOM_LNC041805)
Source: RNAcentral